RNAcentral lists this ribosomal RNA (437 nucleotides) under uncultured bacterium. RNAcentral describes it as "bacterial SSU rRNA". It matches the Rfam family "Bacterial small subunit ribosomal RNA", at positions 29 to 511 of the family's 1533-position model. The record is from RNAcentral.
AACGAACGCUGGCGGCAUGCCUAACACAUGCAAGUCGAACGAGACCUUCGGGUCUAGUGGCGCACGGGUGCGUAACGCGUGGGAAUCUGCCCUUGGGUUCGGAAUAACAGUUGGAAACGACUGCUAAUACCGGAUGAUGACGUAAGUCCAAAGAUUUAUCGCCCAAGGAUGAGCCCGCGUAGGAUUAGCUAGUUGGUGAGGUAAAGGCUCACCAAGGCGACGAUCCUUAGCUGGUCUGAGAGGAUGAUCAGCCACACUGGGACCGAGACACGGCCCAGACUCCUACGGGAGGCAGCAGUGGGGAAUAUUGGACAAUGGGCGAAAGCCUGAUCCAGCAAUGCCGCGUGAGUGAUGAAGGCCUUAGGGUUGUAAAGCUCUUUUACCCGGGAUGAUAAUGACAGUACCGGGAGAAUAAACUCCGGCUAACUCCGUGCCAG